This is a long non-coding RNA of Oxyura jamaicensis (ruddy duck), 1678 nucleotides long. RefSeq lists it as uncharacterized. Lineage: Eukaryota; Metazoa; Chordata; Aves; Anseriformes; Anatidae. The transcript has 5 exons. The record is from RefSeq and is a predicted model, not a curated record.
GCAGGAAGGUCUUGGUGCCUAAAAGAGGUUAGUAAGAGGUAACUGAUCACCUAUAUCAUAUUAUUCUUUCUGAUGUCUGACUAGCUAACUCAGUCCUUUUACGUUAUAAAACAAGAAAAUGGAAAGCGAUUACCACACUCCAGAAACACCUGUUGUAACUGGAAACAGCCUCUGUUAUGUGCUAACCUGAAGUAUCUGAGAAGUUUCACACCGAAAAGGAAAAACACCCUCUGCCAUCACAGUCGUCAACCAGCCUGCUGCUCUGAGGAUUCCGAUGUUUCCUGACACCAUCUCAUUCCCUGGCACGGGAAGGAUGAAUGGAACAGAAGCUCACAUUACCAAUUUUCACAGCAUUGCAGACCUGAGCUGCUAGCAGGGAAGCCAAUGUAUGAGAAACAGGAAUGAGUGUUUUAGGAAGAAACCAUCUGGAUCUCUCAAACAGCUCAGUUAUGUAAUUCUGUUAAUACUAUAGAGUCUUUUAAUGCCGCUUUCUGUAAUAAUUCAUCAGAGCUAAGAGAUUGUCGUUAGUUAUGGCUGUGCUAUAGCUAUUUUUCUUCAGCGCUGUAUCUUUAAUGGCAUUUUUACACAAUAUUUUCUUGUCUUUUGCAAGCUAAGCUGUUUUUGCUAUGUGCACACAGCCUGUCGGGGCAUGGUGCAGGUGGCUGUAGUGCAGUGGGUGCUGAAACUGGUGGGGUCCCUGCAGCACAGCCUCCAGCCUCCAGCAGCUCCCAUGGGCAGGGCUGGUUGUAGCGAUGUGAGUGCUCUCCCAGAGAGAAGGGGCAGCCCUGCCAUGUGCCCCAAAACCCUGGGAAAGGGGAGGAUGUGUUCAGGGCCCUCUCACAUUUCAACAGAAAAUUUUCUCCUUUAUUGAAAGCUAAAGGCUGAGCAGUGGGAUUCAGGAAUUAAUAUUUCUGUAUCGAGAUUUUUUUCUCUUGCUCUCAUACAAUAUUUCUGUCCCUAUGCACCCACUGCACCUUACUGGACCACAGAGUCUAGGGCAGAGUCUAAAUCUCCUGUUUGCAAGUAUGAAUGCCUGCCAUGUGGAUACAAAGAUAAUAAUAAUAAAAAAGGAAAUAAAUCCAAGCUGCUACAUUUAAAAAUUCAUUAUUUUUGAACCAAUGGCAUCUUUUUUUGAGUAGCUGUGAGAGAGGUGCUAAAUUUUAACAUUAUUCUUGUGAAAGAUGGAUGUGGUUAAUUUUACCCAUUCAUCUUGUGUAUUGUCACUUGCUGUGUUGGCUCAUUUUACCCAUUUACUUUGGUGCUGUCAGGACUAAAGGAAAACUUCCAUUCCAGCAAAGCAAAAUUGAAGGGAAUUAGGUAAUUUGUAGGCUUUGCCAGGUUGGAAUGAAGAGCUUUUCAAGGACCAUCAGCAUAUGAAUAGGAUUACCUUGGAUGCACUGGUAGAAGAUGAGUGACCACACAUAUUUUUAGCCUUUGGCAGCCAAGGAGAACGGAACCUCUGAAAACAGCAUGACUGCAACCCAGAAUGAAAGAAAUAAUGUGUCAGGAAACUGGGCAAGCAUUGUGAAUGUUACUGAGGGGAAGCUGAAAUUUUUGGAGAAAGGGACAAGGAGAUAGGCAGUGUCAAAAAUGUUUUUACCUUUUGUUUUUCUUCUGUUUUAACAAUCCUAGGAUAAGCUUUUCCAAAUGAGUAAUAAAUGCCAGGUUAUUUGCAAAA